Molecule: small RNA, 125 nt
Filed under: Marmota monax (woodchuck)
Lineage: Eukaryota; Metazoa; Chordata; Mammalia; Rodentia; Sciuridae
Source: RNAcentral
GCUGGGCAUGGUGGUGCACACCUGUAAUCCCAGUGGCUCGGGAGGCUGAGGCAGGAGGAUGGCGAGUUCAAAGCCAGCCUCAGCAACAGUGAGGCGCUAAGCAACUCAGUGAGACCCUGUCUUUA